GAUGAAGAACGUAGCGAAAUGCGAUAAGUAAUGUGAAUUGCAGAAUUCAGUGAAUCAUCGAAUCUUUGAACGCACAUUGCGCCCCUUGGUAUUCCGAGGGGCAUGCCUGUUCGAGCGUCAUUAUAACCCCUCAAGCUUAGCUUGGUGUUGGGGCCUGCUGUAAUAGAGCAGCCCUUAAAAUCAGUGGCGGUGCCAUUAGGCUCUAAGCGUAGUAAUUCUUCUCGCUAUAGGGUUCUGGUGGAUGCUUGCCAUUAACCUCUAAUUCUCUAUGGUUGACCUCGGAUCAGGUAGGGAUACCCGCUGAACUUAAGCAUAUCAAUAAGCGGAGGA
RNAcentral lists this unclassified non-coding RNA (330 nucleotides) under soil metagenome. RNAcentral's name for it is "partial contains 5.8S ribosomal RNA, internal transcribed spacer 2, and large subunit ribosomal RNA". The stretch from base 1 to 120 matches the Rfam family "5.8S ribosomal RNA", at positions 35 to 154 of the family's 154-position model. The record is from RNAcentral.